RNAcentral lists this long non-coding RNA (2187 nucleotides) under Homo sapiens (human). RNAcentral's name for it is "HSALNT0207914". The record is from RNAcentral. Lineage: Eukaryota; Metazoa; Chordata; Mammalia; Primates; Hominidae.
AGCAUUGCAGAGCUGACAGAUCCUGCCCCAGCUUCUAGCCCUCCCCCUGCAUGGAGGCCCCUCCCCUGGUUCACGCCUUCCUGAGCUUGGAAACCAGAAACUCCAGACUCCCUGCCAGGCACAGCCCAGUGGCGUCUUCUCCUCCUCUUCAAUGGCAUGACUAAUCCAAGAGCUACGGAUAGUCUUAGUUCAUGUGCUUGGGGUUGGUCUAAUCCAAAAUAGGAAAGUCUAUGGUAGCUGCUUCCCAGCUAUUUUGUACUGGGGACAAUCUGGUCCUGUCUCACUCAGGACGUUUGAUCUAAGCCUUCCAUACCCUCUCCACCUCAUCCCAAGUCUUAUAGGUUGCAAUGCUGAUACUUGAACCACCCGCUUUCAGAGAUUUGGGGCCACCUGGAGGUAAAGAGGUGGGGCUGAGAGGUGGUGCUGGUGCUACUCUGUGGGAACUAGUACCCACAUGAGGGAACUACCCUUUCCUGUAACCCCAGAAAAAUAGCUCCAGGCAUGGAAAUGUCUAGUGCAAACCCACAUCAAGGGUGUCUGUUCGCGUUUGAAAUUCAUCGGCACCAGAAAGAGCUAACAUGUUGGCAGUAUCUAGAAAACCAUCAACAUGAGCAUGGGACAGUUCGCUUUGCAGCUGAUCCCACCAUAGUGAGGAGGACGUCUUGCUCUGUUACCUAUGCUGAAGUGCAGUGUUACAAUCAAAGUUCACUGUAGCCUUAACACCUGGGCUCAAGUGAUCCUCUUGCCUCAGCUUCCUGAGUGGCUGGAAAUGCAGACACAUGCCACCGUGCCCAGCUUCUACACUUUUUAAGAAUCACAAAAUCCACUUCCAUUCUUCAAAAAUUUAUUAUUUAUUAUUAAAAAUCUCAAACAAACACAGACAUAUGGGGAUACCAGCAUUCCCCUCCUGGAUACCAGGCAGCUUCAGCCCUGGCAGGCACGAUAGAAGAAAAUACUUGUUACACAUCCUCAUCAACUCUCAGAGGGAUCCUGAGCCGUAGAUGGAGGAAACGCAGACGGAGUAAGCACAGGAUGUUUGCUUCCUGCUGCAAUAUCCCCAGGUACCUACCCAGCUGAAGGGGAUGGGAUGGUACGCCUGUGAGAAGCUACAGGCCAGGUUGGUCAACUGGGGACAAGGGAGUUCAUGGGGACACUGUGAACACAUAAAAAAAUGAGGUAAGACAAAAGAGCCAUCAAUCACAAAACUUAAAAACUGAGAAUAAUAGAGUCAAAAGGGGCCAGGGAGAAGGGAGGACAGGAGCAGUGGGUAGGAAGAGCCAGGGGAAUCAUUAGGUAGGAACUGGAUAGGAACACAAAGUAGUGGAGAGUGGCUUAGCUUUACCAUCUUACAUUUCCCGGCCACGCCUAAGUUCAGAUCCGUGUGGUGGGACAGGCAGAAGUAAUACUCACCGGGGCAAAGACAAAACCAGGUCGAGGGUCCAAAGGUGACUUCUCUUUUCCCUGAAAUCAAAGGAAAUAAAAGAAAUAAAGCUGGGCCAAGGGUCUAUUUUCAUAAUUCAAUCUCUGCACUCAGUAAACUGAGGACUCCUUUAACACUCAAUUCUAAUAACGAUUGACUAUGUCCUUUGAAUUAAGCUGGCUGCAUCUUUAAUACUCCAAACAAAGAACUUUCUCUUUGCUGCAGGAGAAAGGCAAGAACUUGGCACAUAGUACGGUGCUCUCCCUUGUCAGCAACCUCCACUCUCAAAAAAAUCCCACUCCAGGACAAUUAAAUUUAUGAUUAUACACUGGCUCAUACUCUCCCCCAGUGACAAGGUUCUUAGCUCAGCAAUGCCCUAGAUUAGGAGUCCGCAAAGUUUCUUUUAAAGGGCCAGAGAGUAGGCAAAAUCUAUCUCUGUCCCAACUACUCAACUCUGCUGUUUGUAGUGUGAAAGCAGUCACAGACAACAGAGGCACAAAUAAGCAUGGCUUAUAUAAAAACAGGUGGCAGGUCGGAUUUGAUCCACAGGCUCUCAUUUGCCAACCACUGCUCUGUAUCAUAAUGACUUCAUACGCCCAGUUUCCUGAGAGCCACCCUUGUCAAUACAUGACAGUCUCUUUCGUUUUCAAGAGAGUAACAGUAAUUGGUGCCAUAUGGGUGGGGGAGUGAGGGAAGAAGAAGCCUUACCUUAAGGACCAGAUCCCUGGCAUCCAUGAGAAGGCUGUGCCCAGCUUUUGUUCCAUUCU